Molecule: long non-coding RNA, 506 nt
Organism: Hevea brasiliensis (rubber tree)
Lineage: Eukaryota; Viridiplantae; Streptophyta; Magnoliopsida; Malpighiales; Euphorbiaceae
Exons: 3
Source: RefSeq, a predicted model, not a curated record
GAAUCAUCUUAUUCAUUUCUUUCUCCUAUGUUUCAGAGUUUCAUUUCUUGUCUGUCUAUUACUUCAGAUGAAUUAGACAUCUUAAAUUUCCUGGAGGGGGUAAGAAAUGAAUUGGGCAUACCUAUAAUAUAUCAGCAGGACUUAUGGGUAUUAAGAACAGAGAAACAAUAAAAAAAUGAUUUUGGCUCUGGUGAACUUGCAAGAUUAUCCUUACACAUCGCAUUUGUAAUUGAGUGGAACCUACUUUUGAGAAAUGCAUAUAUGGCCACUCAAAUUGCCAGUAAAUAGUCUGCUGAUUUUAUUGGUUGAUUGAUAAUAGGCAACUGUAUUUAAUGCACACUGAUCCUAGUAGUUAUCUUUGGCUGAGAUUCUGCCAAGGCAAUUGAUCCAUGUGAGAUGUCUAACAAUCUUAUUUGUUAAAAAGACAAAUUGAUACAUCACUGUGUUGGGCCACUCAAUCAAUGGAAUUUGUUUCUUUGUAAAAUGUGAGAUGCCCCAUGAACUGC